ACCAUAUUCCAAGGAAGAAAUUACAAAGAAGAGAAAAACUACUUUCAAAACUUCAGAAUGACAUAAUUUGAGAGCUGGAAUGGACCUCGGUGGCUAUCUACUGCAACCUAUACUUGAAGAAAUCUCCACUAUAACUUAUUUGGGUUUGUCUCCAGGAAGAAUUCUUUCAUGAAGAGGAUAACAUUAAUUCCACCUGCAGACUGUUCCAUAUUCUUGUCAUUUGAGGCAUCUUUCCAGGAUCAGCUAUCUGAUGUGAUCAAGGAUUGAAAUUCAAGUGGACACUUUGCCAGAUUCCUUACAUUCAUGAGGUUUCUCUCUAAUACUCGAGGUCAACCUCAAAUUCCAAAGGAAGAAGGAAGGCAGGAAGGGGGCUGCCACAAGAUGAGGGAGGAGGUGCACCAUUCAAGGACACUUGAAGGCCAGGGAGAGACCCUGAUAUCCAAGCAGAUUUGAAUGGAAGACAGACAAGCAGGUCAGCAGGGUGGUGGAGUAGAGCAAAAGUCUCCUUUCUCUGUGUCAGAGCCCAGCACCAUAACUUUCCAUGUAGUAGAUCUGCUUUGACUUCGAGGGUUCUUUUCUGUAGGAAUAUUUUUUAUGGGUGAUUGGAAGACUAAGAAGCCCCAAGCAGAAGGGUGAGACUGGGGAAAGAAAGCAUAAUACUAGACAUUAAAGUUAUCCUAGGAGUUAAAAAGUUAAAGUCACCAAUGCCAUGAUCUAGGACAAUCCUAAAAGACUUAUGACAGGGAAUACUGUCCACCUCCAGAGAAAGAACUGUUGGAGUCCUCUUCCAUGUCAGUGUAUCUUUGGUUUUAUUUUGGGGUUUGGGUUAGGUAUGACUUUGCUCUUUGUAUAAAUGGAGGUUUUUGAACCUUUGACUUCAUUCCCCAGAAGUCCUUAGUAUUUCCCAAAAUUCCCUAUAAUCUCUCCUUCAUCUCCAUGUUGGCAGGAUCAUGUUACUGGUAUUUAACUGGCAGUAACUCCUCCCACGUCCUCUUUUUUGCAUGAUACAGGAAUCAGCAGUGAUGGUGGUAAGUGGGUAUGGCUGAAAAUGGCUAACCAGCCAUGGGCAUGUGGUUUUUAUUUUGUAUCCUCUUUAUUCUUUGAUUUCUAAUGAUCAUCUAAACCUCAUAAAAUAUAAUAUUUUUAUUAUUAGAGAUUAAAUUUUAAAUUUUUACAUCUUACAACAAGGACCAAUAUGGAAGUGUGUUUUGCAUUACAAUAAAAAUGGAAAAAAAGUUAAAGUGAGAACUGUC
RNAcentral lists this long non-coding RNA (1253 nucleotides) under Monodelphis domestica (gray short-tailed opossum). RNAcentral's name for it is "lncRNA (ENSMODG00000037385.1)". The record is from RNAcentral. Lineage: Eukaryota; Metazoa; Chordata; Mammalia; Didelphimorphia; Didelphidae.